RNAcentral lists this ribosomal RNA (744 nucleotides) under Triticum aestivum (bread wheat). RNAcentral describes it as "partial small subunit ribosomal RNA". Lineage: Eukaryota; Viridiplantae; Streptophyta; Magnoliopsida; Poales; Poaceae. The record is from RNAcentral.
AUGGCAGAUCCACUAGAUUCUGGCUUCACUGGUGGUGCGGUUCGACCAUGCUGGCAAAUUCUUUUCCUGUUCUUUUUUCAUAUUGUCCUAACCCUGAGAUCUCAAUCUUUGAGCUCGCUGCCAAUAAUUGGGACCUGCAACUGCGUCGCUCUCUGUCUCCUGAAGAGUUGGUUGACUGACAGCGCCUUGUUGCCUUCUUCCCUGUGCUCUCGGAGGAGGAGGACUCGGUGGUGUGGUCUCACUCCCCUUCCGGCCGUUCUUUCUGUGAAAUCAUUAUAUGGUAAACUGAUCUCUAGCUCCACCACUUCCAAAUUCAAGUGGAUCUGGAGGGCUCGUAUCCCUCCUAAGAUCAAGAUUUUCCUCUGGCAAGCUUCUCGCGGGCGGUUGCCGGCUGGUGAUCAGAUCCGCAAACGUAAUGGCCCUGGAUCUGACCGUUGCGCCCUUUGUGGGCUAAGAGAAGACACGAUGCAUGUGUUCUUUAAUUGUGUUCUGGCUAAACUCUUCUGGUGUUGUAUCAGAUCUUGGUUGCAUGUUUCCUGGAGACCAUCCUCUUUCUCAGACCUUCGACUCUUGGCUAACAACCUGGUUGGGGCCCAGAGGGGAAUGUUUUGGGUGGGCUUGGCAGCGAUGUGCUGGACUCUCUGGACGACAAGAUUCUUUUUACUAUUGAACAUGUUUUUCCUGCUAAACCUGCUGAUUGCUUAUUUAAAACUUGCAUAUUCUUGCAGUAGUGGAGAUUAUUGA